UUUAAUUACAAAUGGAUCAACCUCUUCUUCCAUCCUCUUUCUCCAUCCUUUUUCCUUCCUGUGCACAUCCACCUGCACAACAAAAAAGAAUAAAAGAAAUAUAGAUAAAAUAUUUUAGUAUUAGAACAUUAAUUAUGACUAUAAUAUUUCCGAUGUAUGUAUGUGUACACUGAAAAACAACAUAUAGAAGAAGUCGUCUUCUCCCCAUCCACCACCUUCCUUGGCCUGCCAACCUACCUUUUUUUACUGGAGUGCUUCUUUUUUCCUCAUCCACCUUAUUUUUCCUCGGCCUUCCUAUCUUCUUUCGCAUUGGAUUAUUCCCUUCUCCUGCUGGCACUGCAGAACUACUCCCUUCUUCUGCUGUUUUCUUCCUUGGCUUGGGAGUCGGCUUCUCUGGGUAGACCUCAUAUAAUAUAAAGUCUGUGACUUCCACUACUGAUCGGAAUAAUCCCCGUGAUUCCCUAUGAAUGAAAUAUUGCAGUAACACAUCAAGUAAAUGUUGUCAAUGUUCUUAGGCAACCAUGUGUAGAGUUUUUAAUUU
Molecule: long non-coding RNA, 541 nt
Filed under: Carica papaya (papaya)
Lineage: Eukaryota; Viridiplantae; Streptophyta; Magnoliopsida; Brassicales; Caricaceae
Description: long non-coding RNA (CPAP_LNC016619)
Source: RNAcentral